UGAAAAUCAAUAGCGAUCAAUAACGAUUAUCGGUUUGAUGAAAAUGAGGAAGAAAACGGAAUAUCUACUCUUCUCUUCUACUAUCUGAGACCAAACGGCUGUAACGUAGAGCAAACAUAUACGGUCCUUGAUUGCGUGUUAUUCCUGCUAUUAUGGUCUACGCGGGAUCGCGUCUACGUUUUGGCAUUACUGUGGCCGCCUGUUCUUGUUUGUUAAUUAAUAUUGCUUGAAUGUUGACGAUUUUAGCGAAGAGAAUAAUGAAGCGACGAUUGCAUCGCGAAAAUGAGUCGCGGUUAAUUCAUGUGUAGAAAGAUGUUUCGCUAUUUCUUCCAUCGUACUCGCCACGACGUCUUGUAUUGCAAGAUAAAGUUUUGAUAAAAUUGUUGUCUUUUGCCACUGUUAUACAAACAACGAGUAUUUUGCAUGAGCUGCAAAAAUAUUUUAUCAAUAUUAUAGUUCAGGCAGCAUGCAAAAAUAAACAAUAAAGAACGAAAUCAAGCAACCAAGUUUAUAUUUAGGUAUUAGUCAGAAGUAGCAACAAAUCAAAUGCUGCUAUCAGUUUUAAUAUUGACAAUGAUGGUGACCAGAGAUAUUGCCAUUCAGAAAUUUGAGUACAAAUUUCAGGAAUUUUACUUUACAAUCUGUAGGACAAUUAUAUGGAAAAAGACAAAUGCAUAGAUUUGAAUGGUACAUUCUUUUCCCUGAAUGCUCCAUCACAAGCGGCAGGUAGUCGCAAGCGUCUGAAAAAUGAAGAGAGAAACAGAGCGAAACAAUGUAAAAGGCAACGGACGGCUGAGAACAAGAGGACAUUGUUGCAACGUUG
Linepithema humile (Argentine ant) is the source of this 823-nucleotide non-coding RNA. The record is from RefSeq and is a predicted model, not a curated record. Lineage: Eukaryota; Metazoa; Arthropoda; Insecta; Hymenoptera; Formicidae.